UGCGUGUGCGUGCGCCGCCAGCUUGUGUUCAGACAGCAGCAGUUUGAGGAGCGAGAAUUAAAAGUAGGGAGAGAUGCCAAGUGAGUCCCUGGAGACAGAUACAGGGGACAGAGAGAGAAGAAAGAGGAAAUAAAAAGGAUUUUACACACAUGCACAUGAACACAUACACACUUUCACACAAAGAAACCAAGCCCAUGGUGGUUGUCCGAUAAAAAGCAACACACACAUUUAAAGAGGAUUUCCAUUGAGGUUUCAUGUAGUAAAGUGAUAGUGUCUGUUUUCUUAUCACUUCUGAUAUCUCAUUAAGUUCGUCUCCAUCAUGAUAACAUAAUAUGUUUCCUGAUUUCGUAAACCUAAUCCUAAUCUCAAUCCUCCAACAGGUCUACGAAGAAGUAAAGACAGACCGAAACAUCCUCAAGACUAUUUUCAUGAGGUCCUCCCAUCCACUUCGCAGAACCAGCCUGUCAUCCCACAACCCCCGGCGGCAUCGUCAGAACCCAUUUCUUAUGCUGCGAGGACGGGAUGAGUGUGUGUGUGAGUGUGUGUGAGUUUAUGUAUGUGUGUGUUUCCACCCCCCCACCUUGUCACUCCCGCUCUUUUCCCACUGAGCGUGUGCCAGCUCUCUGUGUUUGCUGGCUGACAGGACCGAAGGAGAGACGAUUGUUCUCUACUUACCCAGAGACCCUCCCCUGCCAAGUCUGGGAUGAAAUCCUUUCUAUAGCGCUAACUCCUCACAGUCGGGCAUCUCGCAGCAAAACCCACACCACCACUGCUCCGGGUGGGGGGGUGAUACCACGCUAGAAGUCAGGCAGAUACACAGAGGUCUGCUUUACACCAUAACACUGUAAAAAAGAAAAGGAAAAUAUCUCAUGAGUCGGAGUCUUGUUGAGGACUUAUAUAAGAUAUUUGUUUUGUGUGUACAGGUCAGGUGAGCUAAUCGAAAGCAAGUUUUUGCAAAAGAAUCAUCCUGAAAUGAAUCGACAGUUUGUUGAUAGACUUGCAUGAUCUGUUCAGAUUUCAUAAUGGUCGAGAUGAUUUUUGAUAGUUUAUCGUAGCCCACAGAAUAAAUCAGAUGCCAUUUUCUGCCAGUUUCAGAAUUGAUUGUAAUUGAGUAUUUGCCUUCUUUUGGGUGUAUUUCAUACCUGCCUGAAUCCUUGCUAUAGUCUUUACAUGCAUAUAUAUGUAUAUGUUUAUUUGAAUAUCUCAUUACACGUAAUGCACAGCUACAGUUUACAUCCUCCUGUAAUCAUCCUGUGCCACUGCACUUGACCAGUCACCCUACAUUUCUCUACAAACAAUGUUCCUGUCGUGAAAGGUGUAUAUUAUGUACAUAUUCGUUAUGUAUUUUUUAAAUGAAUAAACUUUUUCUUCUAUUGCC
Long non-coding RNA from Pleuronectes platessa (European plaice), 1378 nucleotides. RefSeq lists it as uncharacterized. The record is from RefSeq and is a predicted model, not a curated record. Lineage: Eukaryota; Metazoa; Chordata; Actinopteri; Pleuronectiformes; Pleuronectidae. The transcript has 2 exons.